RNAcentral lists this ribosomal RNA (254 nucleotides) under uncultured bacterium. RNAcentral's name for it is "partial 16S ribosomal RNA". It matches the Rfam family "Bacterial small subunit ribosomal RNA", at positions 524 to 776 of the family's 1533-position model. The record is from RNAcentral.
UACGGGGGGGGUAAGCGUUGUUCGGAAUUACUGGGCGUAAAGGGCGCGUAGGCGGCCUGCUAAGUCGGACGUGAAAUCCCUCGGCUCAACCGGGGAACUGCGUCCGAUACUGGCGAGGCUUGAAUCCGGGAGAGGGAUGUGGAAUUCCAGGUGUAGCGGUGAAAUUCGUAGAUAUCAGGAGGAACACCGGUGGCGAAGGCGGCGACCUGGACCGGUACUGACGCUGAGACGCGAAAGCGUGGGGAGCAAACAGG